AUUGAACGCUGGCGGCAUGCCUUACACAUGCAAGUCGAACGGCAGCACGGGUGCUUGCACCUGGUGGCGAGUGGCGAACGGGUGAGUAAUACAUCGGAACGUACCUUAUCGUGGGGGAUAACGCAGCGAGAGCUGUGCUAAUACCGCAUACGCCCUGAGGGGGAAAGCAGGGGAUCGAAAGACCUCGCGCGAUUAGAGCGGCCGAUGCCUGAUUAGCUUGUUGGUGGGGUAAAAGCCCACCAAGGCGACGAUCAGUAGCUGGUCUGAGAGGACGAUCACCCACACUGGGACUGAGACACGGCCCAGACUCCUACGGGAGGCAGCAGUGGGGAAUUUUGGACAAUGGGGGCAACCCUGAUCCAGCAAUGCCGCGUGAGUGAAGAAGGCCUUCGGGUUGUAAAGCUCUUUUGUCAGGGAAGAAACACCGGCUCUAACACAGUCCGGGAAUGACGGUACCUGAAGAAUAAGCACCGGCUAACUACGUGCCAGCAGCCGCAGUAA
Molecule: ribosomal RNA, 501 nt
Filed under: uncultured bacterium
Lineage: Bacteria
Description: partial 16S ribosomal RNA
Rfam family: Bacterial small subunit ribosomal RNA
Source: RNAcentral